AGAGUUUGAUCCUGGCUCAGAUUGAACGCUGGCGGCAGGCCUAACACAUGCAAGUCGAACGGUAACAGGAAGCAGCUUGCUGCUUCGCUGACGAGUGGCGGACGGGUGAGUAAUGUCUGGGAAACUGCCUGAUGGAGGGGGAUAACUACUGGAGACGGUAGCUAAUACCGCAUAACGUCGCAAGACCAAAGAGGGGGACCUUCGGGCCUCUUGCCAUCGGAUGUGCCCAGAUGGGAUUAGCUAGUAGGUGGGGUAACGGCUCACCUAGGCGACGAUCCCUAGCUGGUCUGAGAGGAUGACCAGCCACACUGGAACUGAGACACGGUCCAGACUCCUACGGGAGGCAGCAGUGGGGAAUAUUGCACAAUGGGCGCAAGCCUGAUGCAGCCAUGCCGCGUGUAUGAAGAUGGCCUUCGGGUUGUAAAGUACUUUCAGCGGGGAGGAAGGGAGUAAAGUUAAU
RNAcentral lists this ribosomal RNA (460 nucleotides) under uncultured bacterium. RNAcentral describes it as "bacterial SSU rRNA". It matches the Rfam family "Bacterial small subunit ribosomal RNA", at positions 8 to 464 of the family's 1533-position model. The record is from RNAcentral.